CGUAGGGACCAAGCGUUGUUCGGAUCUACUGGGCGUAAAGGGCGCGUAGGCGGCAAUUCAAGUCAGCUGUGAAAUCUCCGGGCUUAACUCGGAACGGUCAGCUGAUACUGCUUUGCUAGAGUGCAGAAGGGGCAAUCGGAAUUCUUGGUGUAGCGGUGAAAUGCGUAGAUAUCAAGAGGAACACCUGAGGUGAAGACGGGUUGCUGGGCUGACACUGACGCUGAGGCGCGAAAGCUAGGGUAGCAAACGGGAUUAGAUACCCCGGUAGUCCUAGCCCUAAACGAUGAAUACUUGGUGUCUGGAGUUUUUAUCCUCCGGGUGCCGUCGCUAACGUUUUAAGUAUUCCGCCUGGGGAGUACGCACGCAAGUGUG
This 372-nucleotide ribosomal RNA is filed under the name uncultured organism. RNAcentral's name for it is "bacterial SSU rRNA". It matches the Rfam family "Bacterial small subunit ribosomal RNA", at positions 526 to 896 of the family's 1533-position model. The record is from RNAcentral.